Molecule: transfer RNA, 70 nt
Filed under: Camelus bactrianus (Bactrian camel)
Lineage: Eukaryota; Metazoa; Chordata; Mammalia; Artiodactyla; Camelidae
Also listed under: 2 other names
Rfam family: tRNA
About the family: Transfer RNA (tRNA) molecules are approximately 80 nucleotides in length. Their secondary structure includes four short double-helical elements and three loops (D, anti-codon, and T loops).
Source: Rfam by way of RNAcentral
GGGUGUAGCUCAUUAGUAGAGCAUGUGCUUAGCAUGCAUGAGGUCCUGGGUUCAAUCCCCAGAACCUCCA